CCCGUAACGAGCGCAACCCUUGUCCUUAGUUACCAGCACGUUAUGGUGGGCACUCUAAGGAGACUGCCGGUGACAAACCGGAGGAAGGUGGGGAUGACGUCAAGUCAUCAUGGCCCUUACGGCCUGGGCUACACACGUGCUACAAUGGUCGGUACAGAGGGUUGCCAAGCCGCGAGGUGGAGCUAAUCCCAUAAAACCGAUCGUAGUCCGGAUCGCAGUCUGCAACUCGACUGCGUGAAGUCGGAAUCGCUAGUAAUCGCGAAUCAGAAUGUCG
This 274-nucleotide ribosomal RNA is filed under the name Pseudomonas sp. April_KBD2. RNAcentral describes it as "partial 16S ribosomal RNA". It matches the Rfam family "Bacterial small subunit ribosomal RNA", at positions 1086 to 1359 of the family's 1533-position model. The record is from RNAcentral. Lineage: Bacteria; Pseudomonadati; Pseudomonadota; Gammaproteobacteria; Pseudomonadales; Pseudomonadaceae.